UACGUAGGUGGCAAGCGUUGUCCGGAUUUACUGGGUGUAAAGGGCGUGUAGGCGGGAUAGCAAGUCAGAUGUGAAAUACCGGGGCUUAACUCCGGGGCUGCAUUUGAAACUGCAAUUCUUGAGUGCCGGAGAGGAAAGCGGAAUUCCUAGUGUAGCGGUGAAAUGCGUAGAUAUUAGGAGGAACACCAGUGGCGAAGGCGGCUUUCUGGACGGUAACUGACGCUGAGGCGCGAAAGCGUGGGGAGCAA
RNAcentral lists this ribosomal RNA (248 nucleotides) under uncultured Oscillospiraceae bacterium. RNAcentral's name for it is "partial 16S ribosomal RNA". It matches the Rfam family "Bacterial small subunit ribosomal RNA", at positions 524 to 771 of the family's 1533-position model. The record is from RNAcentral. Lineage: Bacteria; Bacillati; Bacillota; Clostridia; Eubacteriales; Oscillospiraceae.